This 2221-nucleotide long non-coding RNA is filed under the name Cricetulus griseus (Chinese hamster). RNAcentral's name for it is "lncRNA (ENSCGRG00015034256.1)". Lineage: Eukaryota; Metazoa; Chordata; Mammalia; Rodentia; Cricetidae. The record is from RNAcentral.
AGAGAAGUGGCCUGGCUAACAGACCCCAGUCUCCAAGGACUCACACUAAAGUCCCAGAUGGCCUGGAUUUCUUUGUAGGACAUGUUUACCGAGGGUUUCUCUGUGGCUUUGGAGGCUGGAAGUAGCUCUUGUACUGGUUGGUCUGGAAAUCACAGAGAUGCGCCUGCCUCUGCCUCCUAAGUGCUAGGACUAAAGGCGUGCACCACCACCGCCUGGCUCUGAGUUCCAUUUUCACCUGCUGGAGUCCCCAUGGGAUUGUUCUGAAGUAUAGAGUAUACAGGGAGAAACCUAAGAUCCGCAGUGAGGAGGAGAAUUAAGAAGAUGGAGUUCACAUUCAGAGCUCAGGCUGGAGGCGAGUGGCAGACGAUGAAAAGGAGAAGAAAAGUCCUAGGAGCAAAGUUGCCCAUUGCAUGCCUGAAGGAAUGAAUGAGCCAGGGCUGUGUGGUCUGCACAGAUGGUUGCAACGUUGGCAAAGCAUUCUCAGUUGUUACAAAAGCUCCAGGAGCCCACAUUUCACAGCUGAGGAAACAGGCUCAAAGUCACACAUCAAAUAAUGCAGCCAGGACUUCACCUCUUAGGACAUCAGAUGUGCACCCUUGGGGUUUUCCUCCCACUUCAGCGUGGGCUGCCAGGCCUCUCCUGAGCAAUCACUGGGGAAAGGGGCAAGUGCUUGCCUGGCAGGGAGAGAGGGAGCGAGAGAGGACUCUGCCAAGGAUCAACUCCAGACUCAUUUCUCUAGCAACCCUUGUCAUAAAAUAUCUUGCCUCAGUGAGCAUUGAGUAUGAAUCCAGGCUGUUUGAGAUUGUGCCAUCCUUACUUGACAGUUUAAUUGUGAUCCUAUAGAUGAUCAGUUUAGUCUGUGACUGGGGCUACAAGGACCUAGGGCAUGGGAGUUGUGAUCUAGAUGCAGACAGACAGCCUUUGACCUGGGACUUGGAGGGCAGGACCCUGGUCAGCUGCUACGCUGAGUUCCUAUGAGCAAGACUGGAUCUGUUUGCCUUUCCUUUCCAGAACCUGAGGUCUAUGGAGAUGAUUUGCAAAGAUGGCUUCAGCACUUCCACUCGUUAGGUGCAGGCCCCUUUGGAAGUGUGGAGUCUCUGGAAUCUGAGCUUGCCUUGACUUGCACAAACCAUAAAAAUACAGCAGUGCGGUCAUCAGCGGGCAUGGCAGCUUUUGCUUUGAUCCUCUUUCAAGCUGCCUCUUUCAAGCUGCAUGUGCACAGACCUCGUCUGAUCUAUCACGUGAACCCGAGAGGCUGUGAAGCGCAGGCGCCAUGACAGGCAAAGCUCACAUGACUGACUACAGCCAGUGCCAAAAGUUACAUGUAAGAAUGAGGCCAUCUUGGGCCUUUUAGACUCAGGAUAGCCACCAAAAAGCACAGUGGUACUAAUGACCCCAGGAGAAAUCAGCAGAACCUUCCAGCUGAGCCCAACCCUAAAGGUGGGGUCAUGGAAUUGGGAGUAAAUACAAUGUUACUUUAAUCAGCCCCGCCCCCCAUUACUUUAGAAUGUCAUGCCAGGCAGCAACAGAAAAUGGGCACAGGGCAGUUCCUACUGGUAGUAGACUGGAUUACUUCUAAAAACAGAUAUUUAAGACCUAAACCCUUUUACCUGUGAAUGUUAACUUAUUUGGAAAUAAACUUUGAAGAUAUCGAAUUCAGAUAAGGUCUGAGCUGGCAAUGCAGCUAAGUUUGUGGAGUAUUGUGCCUAGCAUGCAGAGAGCCCUGGGCUCUGUGACCAGCACCGCAUAAACUCAGUGUGGUGCUAUGUGCCUCUAAUCCCAGUAUUCAGGAGGUAGAGACCUGAGGAUCUAAAGUUCAAAGGUCAUCCUUGACUGCAUAGUCAGUGUAUCCUUAUGCCAGCUUAUGUGAGUUAUUUUGUGUCUUAUUUUUUUUGUUGUUUGUUUAAAUUUUCCUUGUUUUAUACAGCAUCUUAUGAAAUCCAGACUAGCCUUGAACUGGAUGUGUAGCUGAGGAUGAUCUUGAGCCUCCUGCCUCCAUCUUCUGAUGGUUUAGUCAGUACUGGAGAAUGAGCCCAGGACUUAAUGCACGCUAGGCAAGCACUCUGCCUACUGAGCGACAUCCCUAGCCCCAUGUGUACCAUUUUUGCCACUUAAUAUGUCACAGACAGUUUUUCCACGUCUGUAACUAAAUCUUGUUUAUCAGCACUUAUUUAUUGAAUAUAUCAUGCCAGGAAAUAACAAUGAAAAGACAGUGUUUGUG